UACGUAGGGUGCAAGCGUUGUCCGGAAUUACUGGGUGUAAAGGGUCCGCAGGCGGGCAAGCAAGUCGGUGGUGAAAGUUCACGGCUCAACCGUGAAAUUGCCUUCGAUACUGCUUGUCUUGAGUCCGAGAGAGGAUGAUGGAAUUCAUGGUGUAGCGGUGAAAUGCGUAGAGAUCAUGAAGAACACCAGUAGCGAAGGCGGUCAUCUGGCUCGGUACUGACGCUCAGGGACGAAAGCGUGGGUAGCAAACAGG
RNAcentral lists this ribosomal RNA (253 nucleotides) under uncultured bacterium. RNAcentral describes it as "partial 16S ribosomal RNA". It matches the Rfam family "Bacterial small subunit ribosomal RNA", at positions 524 to 776 of the family's 1533-position model. The record is from RNAcentral.